Molecule: unclassified non-coding RNA, 337 nt
Filed under: soil metagenome
Description: partial contains 5.8S ribosomal RNA, internal transcribed spacer 2, and large subunit ribosomal RNA
Rfam family: 5.8S ribosomal RNA (bases 1-120)
Source: RNAcentral
GAUGAAGAACGCAGCGAAAUGCGAUAAGUAGUGUGAAUUGCAGAAUUCAGUGAAUCAUCGAAUCUUUGAACGCACAUUGCGCCCCAUGGUAUUCCGUGGGGCAUGCCUGUUCGAGCGUCAUUUACCCCCUCAAGCUCCGCUUGGUGUUGGGCGUCUGUCCCGCUUCGCGCGCGGACUCGCCCCAAAGGUAUUGGCAGCGGUCGUGCCAGCUUCUCGCGCAGCACAUUGCGCUUCUCGAGGCACCGGUGGGCCCGCGUCCAUCAAGCUCACCCCCCCAGUUAGACCUCGGAUCAGGUAGGGAUACCCGCUGAACUUAAGCAUAUCAAUAAGCGGAGGA